GGCUGGUCCAAUGGCAGUGAAUUUCAGAAUUUAUUAACAUUAGUGUCACUAAAGUUGGUAUACAAUCCUUCACUGCUAAAUUUGACUGGCUAAAA
Unclassified non-coding RNA from Gorilla gorilla gorilla (western lowland gorilla), 95 nucleotides. It matches the Rfam family "Y RNA". Rfam says of the family: Y RNAs are components of the Ro ribonucleoprotein particle (Ro RNP), in association with Ro60 and La proteins. The record is from Ensembl. NCBI's taxonomy places the organism in Eukaryota, Metazoa, Chordata, Mammalia, Primates, Hominidae.